RNAcentral lists this transfer RNA (107 nucleotides) under Candidatus Thorarchaeota archaeon. RNAcentral's name for it is "tRNA-Phe". The record is from RNAcentral. Lineage: Archaea; Promethearchaeati; Candidatus Thorarchaeota.
GCCGCGGUAGAUCAGCCUGGGAGAUCGCACGGCUGAAGACCGUGUUGUCGCCGGUUCAAAGCCAAUCUUGAUUCCCAAGAUCGGUGAAUAUCCGGCCCGCGGCACCA